This 91-nucleotide transfer RNA is filed under the name Pseudomonadota bacterium. RNAcentral's name for it is "Proteobacteria bacterium (cold seep metagenome) tRNA-Ser". It matches the Rfam family "tRNA". From Rfam's summary of the family: Transfer RNA (tRNA) molecules are approximately 80 nucleotides in length. Their secondary structure includes four short double-helical elements and three loops (D, anti-codon, and T loops). RNAcentral also lists the same sequence under 2 other names. Lineage: Bacteria; Pseudomonadati; Pseudomonadota. The record is from RNAcentral.
GGAGAGGUGACUGAGUGGUUGAAGGUGCGCGACUGGAAAUCGCGUGUAGGUGACGAGCCUACCGAGGGUUCGAAUCCCUCCCUCUCCGCCA